This 211-nucleotide long non-coding RNA is filed under the name Elaeis guineensis (African oil palm). RNAcentral's name for it is "long non-coding RNA (EGUI_LNC051892)". The record is from RNAcentral. Lineage: Eukaryota; Viridiplantae; Streptophyta; Magnoliopsida; Arecales; Arecaceae.
AGAGAGAGGAAGAGGAGAAGAAGUCUUCUCCCUCUUCUUGGUGAUCUGGUUUAGAUCCCGAUGGAUCUGUGUGAAGGAGUUUGCGCAGCGAUCAUCAUCUUCGAGAUCAAGAAGAAGAGAUUCAGAUCCAAGACUGAAGAGAAAGAUCUGCAAGGUGCUAGCACACCGGUGAUCUCAGUGCUCCGAUCAGACAUCUCCUAUGGAUACCAGC